CUCUAUAUGUGAUUGUUAGCUGGUCUCUGUUGUAGAUGACAGCCAUGUCUUUAGUUUUGCCAGCUAAACAAGCUUCCUUGCAGUUGCACUUAAUAUGUACAUACUGUACAGAAGAAUGUUUUACGCAUUUCUAUGAUCUGGACAUUUUAUGUUCCUUUGAAAUGUUUAAAAAAUAUUGUACUAAGGACUCAGGAUAAGUUUGCAGUUAGAAUGUCACACAAAGUAUUUCCUAGUAUGUUACGAAAAAAUUGCAAUGUUUGUGUGCACCAUUUGAAACCCUUGAUUAAAAAUGUUGUGGCUGUGGCAGGGGACAGCUAUUUUUGAUAGUGUAUUAAAAUGUGCGAAAUGAGCGCUGAAGUAUUGUUCUGUUGCAGGAUCAACUGGUAAAAGAUGAUGAUGAUGAGAGGAGUGCUAAUGGGUUUGGAGGACAGCAUCUACCUUGUAUCUGAUAUACGCCACUGGUGCACUGUGUGCCCAUAUUUGUUUAUUUUCUGUGCCACACUUCUGCAGUGUUCUUUCAGUUCACACAAUAGAUGGAACAUUACCCGAGAGUUCUUAUGAGAUACAUUCCGUUUGUUUGUUUGUUUGUUUGUUUAGAUUGUUUGUUUUGAGGGGAUGUUGUUUCGGUUUAAUGUCACGUAUGAUUUGAUCAUAUCACCACAUAGGCCUGCAUUAUAUUGCGUCAGAAUUUUUGUUAUUCAAACUUUAAAUGUGUUGUAUAAUGGUUAUUCAAUAAAGCUAUGAUAACUGGACAUGUUGCUAAGCACCAUAUAUUUGCCAGGCACACUACCCCGCUGCAUGUGUUCAUGUGGUGGAUGGCGCAGUUUCCUUGCUUUAUGAUAAAGAUGGAAAGAGAUAGAGAAGGGAAAAGAGGAGGCGUUUAUCCGUGCCGACAGAUUAUAUGUUCAAUGUUACCGUUAACAUUGUUGUAUCUGAGAGUUCAACCUUAUGUUGAACCUGAGGUACAAUGAGAGGUGACAGAACUGACUCUUCCUGUCACAACUUCCAUACUGUUCCAUCUCUACCCUUUUCAUAAUGAUUCUGGAACAUUCUUGUGUUCCUGGGGCGGGUGGAGUUGAGGGCGUAGAGACAUCCAUCAGCAUGAGUGUCAUAUCAUCUCUCCGAAGCUUUUGAUCAGAAGUGUGUUGGUUGACGUAGCACUAGCUGCCCCCACACUCUCUGGCUUCUUACUGGAGAAUUACUGGGAACCUCAGCAGAAGUGGGGGGAAAAAAUUGCCCAAUGUCUUCCAGGGCAAAGUUAGACGGAUGUGUAGAAAACAGUCAGUGAGAUAUUUUCCUUUAGUUCAGAUGUUGGUUAGGUCGGUGUCUGAACAGAACAGAACAACUGUGUAGACCGCAAAUAUGUUUGAUUCUUUGGAGAUUUCAGUAUGAAUGAACUAAAUUAUAAUAAAAUAAAGACAAAAGAAAAUAUAAGAAAAAAAGGUGAGUGCUAUUUCUGUUGACUUAGAUUUGUUUUGGGACACAUUGAGUCUGUGGAGGACUGAGUUCAACUCCGCUUUGAAUGCAUUUGAAGGCCCGUGUAGAUGACUGUCCUUGUAUCUGACAUUUAAAGCGUCAAAAAAGAGUCUUUUUCAUUAAACAAGAAUUCAUAUUUGGAUUUAAAAAUGUAUGCUCUGGGUAUUAUCUAUGCAUGCUCAGGACCUCUGGGUUCAUCGUGUUCUCAUACAUAUAUUGAAAACCAAUAAGCAUCCUAUUGUGUUCUUCCAUAUUUAGCGCAUUCCUCUGCACAUUGACAAGACAAGACAAGUAACGCUAGG
This is a long non-coding RNA of Clupea harengus (Atlantic herring), 1778 nucleotides long. NCBI's taxonomy places the organism in Eukaryota, Metazoa, Chordata, Actinopteri, Clupeiformes, Clupeidae. The record is from Ensembl.